UACGAACUGUGCAACCGUUAUUCGGAUUCACUGGGCUUAAAGGGUGCGUAGGCGGCCAUGUAAGUAGGGUGUGAAAUCCCCCGGCUUAACCGGGGAACUGCGCCCUAAACUGUAUGGCUGGAGUGAGAUAGGGGUGUGUGGAACUUCCGGUGGAGCGGUGAAAUGUGUUGAUAUCGGAAGGAACGCCGGUGGCGAAAGCGACACACUGGGUCUCAACUGACGCUGAGGCACGAAAGCCAGGGGAGCGAACGGG
RNAcentral lists this ribosomal RNA (253 nucleotides) under uncultured bacterium. Its description in RNAcentral is "partial 16S ribosomal RNA". It matches the Rfam family "Bacterial small subunit ribosomal RNA", at positions 524 to 776 of the family's 1533-position model. The record is from RNAcentral.